RNAcentral lists this ribosomal RNA (387 nucleotides) under uncultured soil bacterium. RNAcentral describes it as "bacterial SSU rRNA". It matches the Rfam family "Bacterial small subunit ribosomal RNA", at positions 26 to 416 of the family's 1533-position model. The record is from RNAcentral.
AGAUUGAACGCUGGCGGCAGGCCUAACACAUGCAAGUCGAGCGGUAGAGAGGUGCUUGCAUCUCUUGAGAGCGGCGGACGGGUGAGUAAUGCCUAGGAAUCUGCCUAGUGGUGGGGGAUAACGUUCGGAAACGGACGCUAAUACCGCAUACGUCCUACGGGAGAAAGCGGGGGACCUUCGGGCCUCGCGCCAUUAGAUGAGCCUAGGUCGGAUUAGCUAGUUGGUGAGGUAAUGGCUCACCAAGGCGACGAUCCGUAACUGGUCUGAGAGGAUGAUCAGUCACACUGGAACUGAGACACGGUCCAGACUCCUACGGGAGCAGCAGUGGGGAAUAUUGGACAAUGGGCGAAAGCCUGAUCCAGCCAUGCCGCGUGUGCGAAGAAGGUC